AGUGUCCAUCCUCAUAAGAGCAUCCCAAACGUUUUUGUCCCUCCAUUAUUUUCCUUUCACCCAUCUGUGAAUGAAACCCACAAUGAAUUCUGCGAUUCUCCUAUGGCUGAAAUCCUCAAUUUCAGUUUUAAUCAAAAUACAUCUCUUCUAUUCUUCUGUAGAUUUAGUUUGAUUGUUGUUACUUUCUUGUUUAAACCUGGGAAAUGGGUUUAUUCUCAAGCAUUUGACAAAAAUCUAUUGCUUAUCGCACCAGUCAUAGGAAGAAGAGAAGAAAACAGUAACUCUGAACUUUCUAAAUCUAGCAUGUGGUUUCAUAUUUCUUAGUUCUUAUUCUUCAAAUGGGUUUAAUGAAGUUUUCGUAUGCUCAAUUUUCAGAUUUCUAUUGGCAAAAUAAAAAAUAAAAUUGUUUAUUUUUCCAAUUGUUAGAGCUUCAUUUGUUUUUAUGGAAAAAAGAAAACAGGAGAAUGCCCUGUUUGGUCGGGAUUUUGUGUUGAAUUCAAUUGAAUUCUUGCAAAUGAUUUAUUCUAAACAAUGAUAAUUUAUUUUUCUAAGAGUGUCAAAGUGAUAUAUUGAUGAGAAAAUAGAUUCUUCUUCUGCCUUUCUUUUUGGUGCUGUAUUUGUUUGUGUUAAUAUUGAAAAUAUUGCAGCUUGUAUAGGUGAAAGAAAAUUUACAGGAGUCACGGUCCUCUCUACCAUUCUUCCAAUCCCUCCUCUCCUUUCUCCGUCGAGAUGUCCACUGCCACCGUCACAGCCAUUCCUCGUCGGUCUGUUUUUCUCGGAGUCAACGUCGGUACAGGAAUCGCAUGCUCUGGUUUAUUUGAUGAGAAUGGGAAACUCUUAUGAACGUCUAGUAGUCCAAUUCAAAUUUGGAAAGAAUGUGAAUAUUGAGCAAUCGUCAACAGAUAUAUGGCAUGCAAUAUGUGCAACUGUGAAGUCAGCAUGUUCACUUGCAAAUGUUUCUGGUCAAGAAGUUACUGGCAUUGGUUUUGCUGCUACUUAUUCUCUUGUGGUUGUUGAUGCUAAUGGAGCACCAGUAUCAGUUUCAUAGAGUGGGGAUUCAAGAAGAAAUAUUAUAGUUUGGAUGGAUCAUAAAGCUGUUAAACAAGCUGAGAAGAUUAAUUUUUCUAAUUCACCAGUAUUACAGUACUGUGGUGGGCCCUUUCUCCUGAAAUGCAGCCUCCAAAGGUACUUAUUCAUGUUGUGUUUGUAAACUCUCGAAAUUGCAAGAAUUCAAUAUUAUUGAGUUCACGAUUUUAGUCAGUUUUUAUUUGGAAAGAUCAUAGUUGCUAGAAUUUGAUUCUUUCAACUUAAAAAGAACAUGGCAUUUUGAAGAAAUGAAAUCAUAAUACUAUAAGUGACAUGUUUUUCUAAGAAUGUAAUUCAAUUGAAUUCUUGCAAAUGAUUUAUUAUGAACAAUGAUAAUGUGUUGUUCUAAGAUGGCCUUCCUAUUGCUAUAUCAGACCUAAUCUACAGUGCAUUUAUUUCAAAAUUUUAAGAAUGAUAAGUGCUUUGAUUGAUUCUGAGUUUCAAAUAUUGAGAUUGAUGAGAAAAUAAGUUCUUCUUCUGCCUUUCUUUUUUGGUGCUGUAUUUGUUUGUGUUAGUAUUGAAAAUAUUGCAGCUUCUAUGGGUGAAAGAAAAUUUGCAAGGAGUCAUGGUCCAUGGUGUUUAGAUGGAUGUAUUUGAGUGAUUGGUUGUCAUACAGAGCAACAGGAGAUGAUACUUGUAGUCUAUGUACCACAGUAUGCAAAUGGACAUAUCUUGGGCAUGCACAUAAGCAGCAAAUGAAUGAAAAAGAUUCUCGAGAUAUGGAAGCUUAUGGAUGGGAUGGUGACUUUUGGGAAGAGAUUGGCUUGGGUGAUCUUAUAGAUGGUCAUCAUGCUAAGAUUGCACCAGAACAAGAAACCAAAAAUGAAUUCCAAUUUUCCGAUAGAGGAAACUAUCAGAAGAGAAGGGAUCUCAAAUAUGACACUUGAUAUCAAGAUUUCUGGCAAGAACAGAAGUUGGUUCGGGGACUUCAUAAACCAUAACAGAUGUGAGAAGGAAAAGAAAGCUGGAGUGUUGAGUAUGAUUCAUUCAGACCAUUUGCGGCUAAAUUUGAACAGUCUAGCCAUCUGACUGAGAGAUAACCUGAAGUCGCCAAGCGUGGUGCAUGGAGCUUUUUUAUGGAGCGUCAUACUGUGAGUAGUAUACUAUACACAUAUGUAUGUAUAUGCGUUAUCCCCUCCCAUUUGCAUUAAGCAUGCCUUUAAAUGCGAAUGAGAUUGAUGCCACUAAGUGAUCAAUAUGAUAUGUGUGCAUGCAUUGUGUGAAAAAUUGAUUUUAAUUGCUUAGCGGGAUUGAGUUGAAUCUCUUAGACGAUGGGGCACUCAUCAGACCAUCUGUAUUGAGGGUGCAAGCUUGAGGGAUAAUAUUAGUCUAGAAGUGCUUUGUUACCCCGACUAUUGUUGAUUGCUGUUUAACAAUAUUGAUGUGAUUGUUUAUGCUUAUAUUAUUUUGAUGCUAAUUGGAUAGGGAAAGUAGGGACCUCUAGGUGUCCAAGAGGUUCUUGAUGGAUGACUAGAGGGUUCAAAAGUCCGAUAUUCAGGGAAUCAUGGUCCAUUAGAGUUUGAAAUGAACCUAUAUAUAAAGAUGUUUCUAUAUAGCUUCAAAAAUAUUUUAAGCAUUGAAAAAAUCAUUAAAAAUGUUUUCAAAAUAGCAUUGUCAUUUUCUCUAAGUUUUGAACUUGAGCCUUGUGUCCGAUGGUCUUUCAGUAGUCCGCAUAUGUUUUGAGUUGCACAUGUUCAUUCAUGCAUCAUACAAUUCACAUGUCAAAUACAUCGAGUAACAUAUUGGUUGUCAGUCUCAGACACAAUGAUGCGAGUUUAAAACAAAGAGAAAAUGAAAAACUACACUAAAAUUUAUAGCAAUUUAAAUUUUAUCGUUUAGUAAUUUCGUGGUGUUAGGUUUAUUUUGGUGAGAGUUGUUAUUUUAAAUGAUUAUUUACGAGAAAAUGAUUAAAUAAUUGGAAUUUAAUUGUAGUAGUUUACACUUUUAUUUUUGAAUUUUAAAUAAAUUAAGUAUAUAUUGUUAAUUUAUUUUGGAUUUAAGGAUUAAAGUGAUUUGAGAUAACAAAAUUUGGAGGAGGAAGAUAUUAAAUGAGUUAAUACUUUCUCUGUUAAUAAUAAAUGGUUAUAGCUUGAUAGUGGAAUAGUACUUGAGGUGUCAAAAUAUGUAGAAGACACUUAUUCUUUAAGUAUAUCAGGAAUUUAUUUUAUUAGAUAAUUAUUUAGAAUAAAGUUUAGUUUUCAUUUAAUAGGAGGAUUAAAGUGAAAAUAUGGCAUCAACAAUAGAUAUUGUAGAGAUGCAUGGCCUCUUGCAUGAGUAAGUUAGAACAUACCAAUUUAGUUUUAGUUAAUAUCUCCUUUUGUUUUUAAAUUUAACAUCUCGAGUAACUAUUUAUGUCCUAAUUUUCUUUUCUCGCUAUAACUUCUUGUUGGCUUGAGUUGGGUUUAGUAAUUUUGGGCAUGUGAUAUUAUGAUUGGAUUGGAAAUUGAUGCUUGUAAGAUUUGGUCCAUGCUUGAAGAUUGAAGCUCGAAAUACAUAAGGAUUGGAUUGGCACAAGCGAUGUCGAAGGCUAUUUAGAGUUUAAAUUGGAGAACUGAUGAUGAGUUUGAAGCUUUCAACUCCAAGAGUUACAUUGUUUGAUAAUGAUUCUUGGGCUAAUUAUAACUUCUUAAUUUUCUUAUUUUGUUACUAUCUCCGUAAUUAGGUUAGUAACUAUUCUUUAAUUUUAUUUAUUUGCAUGAAGUGAGUAAGGGCUUUGGGUUACUUUAGAUGAUGAUUAUUGAUUGUGUUGUGUUUGAUUUUGUGUUUAUGGCUUAAUUUUUGUAUUGUGGCAUGAGAUGUUAGAUUGGUGCUAUGCCAAAUUAUGUGAACUUUAGGUUGGUCCUUCGAAGUGUGAAUUUGAUUGGAAUUUCGGGAUUUUGUCCCCUGUGUGACAGUCCACUUGUUUGAGCAUUAUCUAGAGUUCCACAACUCCAAAUGAGGCGAAAUCUGAACCUAUAGAAACUUUGAUCCAUCCUCUAAAACUAUUUAUUUUGUGGAAGGCCUAAUUCUGCUGUUUUGGAAGUAAAACUGAGUAUUAGAUUUUCAUGGUCAAUCUGACCUGACAGAUUGACGUAUCUACAAUGUUUUAUUUAGUCCUCCUUGUUCACUUUUUCAAAUGGCACAAGACCAAUUAGAAAUGAAACUAGACUUAAUGUCCCUGUGAUGUGGAAAAGAUGGUACCGGUAAUGGUUCCUAGAAUUUUUUGAGACAAUUUUGAGUAGAGCCUCAGAAAUCUGUCAUAGAUGACAGUUUGUUGAUUAUGUGUAAAUAGUAGUUUUAGAUGAUUAAUUGCUUGAGAAAAUCUAUUUUUUUUUAUGCCAUGUGAUUAGUAUGUGAUAUAUUUGUUGAUACAUUGCUGGUGGGAGCUUUGGUUUUGCAAUUAAAGGUUGAUUUUAAUAUUUGUUUGCUGAUGUCCCGAAUUCUGUACUAAAUUUUUUCUUGACAGUCAAAUUUGAAAAUUAAUAUGCCAAAUUCUACUACAAAUGAAUGGUUGAUUUUUGGGUAUUUUGUUUCCCGUCUGUGUAGUUUAUGGGUAUAAAAUGGCACUUUGAUCCAAUUGGUCGGAUGUUGACUUGUGGCUAUUUUUCUAGGGACUACCCGGAGAGAAUUUUCUAAACUAGAAUUAAGGAUAUUCCUUGUUUCUUAGAUUGCUUUCUAGUUUGGAAAAUUGCAAUUACCCCUUAAUUCAAUGAAUAUUUGACAGGCUUCGAUACAAGAAUUUAUGGGAUUUAAGCCCUUAGUUUAAGUUGAAAAUGGUACCUGAUUCAGUCUGAUAUAAUUUGAUUAGAUCUUUUAUUAUUGCACUGGUUUUGAUAUCAAUUUCAUGAUACUUUAUUUAAAACUUGCCAUCAACAUAGAGGAAAGUGUUUUUUAGAACUUCUUAUGUUAAGACUGAUUUCUAGGUUGUGUCACUUAUAGAUUCUUUCAUGGAAACAGGUAAACGAUUAGUGAAGAUAAGGCCUUUUCAGGUUAUAGUGCCCAAUUUUUUUAUAUUAAUCAUUGAGGCUUUAAAUUCUAUAUGCUACAGGUCUCCUUUUGCAUAUCCAAAGCAAAGGGAAUUAUUUGAAGCAUGAACCCUUUACGUUAGUGAUAGACAAUUGGCUCUUUCAUACCUUGCUGCCUUGCAGGUUAUUGCAUACGGUACACACCAAAUUGUGGAGCAUUGGAAUGCUCAUGGUCACAAACAGUGAUCCCUAAGUACUGGUUUACAGAGGGUGGGCAGAGUGCUACUGGUGCAUUAUUAGAUUACAUCAUGGAAAACCAUGCUGCUUC
RNA transcript from Ricinus communis (castor bean), 5358 nucleotides. It is a transcript of the gene named FGGY carbohydrate kinase domain-containing protein-like, with no coding region annotated. The transcript has 10 exons. The record is from RefSeq and is a predicted model, not a curated record. NCBI's taxonomy places the organism in Eukaryota, Viridiplantae, Streptophyta, Magnoliopsida, Malpighiales, Euphorbiaceae.